GAAUGGAAGGAUCCGAUUCAAACCUAGCUUUUUGAGCGUUUUCAAAUCCCCAAUGUCGUCUCUGCUGCCAUUUUACACUUUCACCUUUGUUCUUCUCUCGACUCUUCUCUUUCCUUCGGUUCUUUCUCUUCCAUUGAAGAUAUUGAUCUCUUUAUAAACCGUGAUUGCAGUAUCUGAUCGAUUGCAGAGCAAAUAAUCGUUCAUAUCGAUUUCAGCUCGCCGACGGACACACUCGAAGCUUCGUUUACCAGGGAGCUUGUGGUUUGAAUAGUUUGGAUCGUUGAUUUAGAUUUCAGGAAUCGCCAUUAGAGGAAACCUGUUAUGAUUUCUUAAGUUCAAGUAAACCACAUCGUCUUCUUCGCAAAUAGAGGUAAAGUUCUCGUAAAUUUCUCGUUGAAGACCAUAAGAUAUAAAUUCAAUUUUUAUUA
This is a long non-coding RNA of Cynara cardunculus var. scolymus (artichoke), 428 nucleotides long. RefSeq lists it as uncharacterized. The transcript has 2 exons. NCBI's taxonomy places the organism in Eukaryota, Viridiplantae, Streptophyta, Magnoliopsida, Asterales, Asteraceae. The record is from RefSeq and is a predicted model, not a curated record.